RNAcentral lists this ribosomal RNA (2440 nucleotides) under Bacillus sp. SinR1. RNAcentral's name for it is "partial 16S ribosomal RNA". The stretch from base 841 to 2390 matches the Rfam family "Bacterial small subunit ribosomal RNA". The record is from RNAcentral. Lineage: Bacteria; Bacillati; Bacillota; Bacilli; Caryophanales; Bacillaceae.
CGUUUAGUAAUUGAGUCCCCCCAAAUGAGAAAGACAAAAACACAAACGAAUUCUCGAGAGGACAGGAGGGGGGUUUUAAUUGGUGGCCUUUUUUUUUUAUCUAUUUUUACGUUUUAAGAUCAUUCAUUUAAAAUUUUAACCAAUUUUAACACAAAUCCAAUCAUAUUUAGAAAAACAAAUCUAAAAAAUUUAUAUAAUAAGAUUUUUAAUUUACAGUUUAGUAGAACGCCAUGGAAGAAAAAAGGCAACCCCUCCUUAAAUUCAAGAGCCGGCCCCGAAUAUUCCUCUAUGUAAUCAUCCUCCUUUAUUUUUAACGGGGAAGGAAAUAAAUAAAAAGCAGUAAGUACUUUUUAUUUUUUCUUUUUUGGGGGGGAGGGGGUAGUGAAUAGAAGUAAUUUUUAUUCCAUUAUCCACAAACAUGUAGAGGUUGGAGGCCCCCUUUAUCUAAUUAUUUUUAGUGGAGGAAGGCUCUCCCCCCGCCUAAACAUCUAUAUAUUCCCCGCCCCCGCGAGAGGAGUGUGUGUUCCCCCACAGCGGGUGGUAACACCCCCCCCCCCCCCUCUUUUUUGCUGGGGGGGCGCACUAGGGAUAUUUUUUCCCCACAAAGAAAAAAUUUUUUUAGAAAAAAACACCCCCGUGUUUGUAUUAGGGGGCUUUUCGCUCUGCUAAAACCUCGCGUGGUGGGGGAGGAUACAACUUACCCGCCAUACUUUUUUUUUCUCUUCAAGGGGCGAGCUUCUAAUAUUUCCCUGGGGCCUUGGGGGUGGCCCCACCGCGCCUAUUUAUUCUUUGGGUGGGUGAUUCUGUUCAUUAAAUUGGGUUAAAGGGGGACCCCCCCCUUUAUAUAUAUGUUAUUUCCUUCGUCAGAUGAACGCUGGCGGCGUGCCUAAUACAUGCAAGUCGAGCGAACUGAUUAGAAGCUUGCUUCUAUGACGUUAGCGGCGGACGGGUGAGUAACACGUGGGCAACCUGCCUGUAAGACUGGGAUAACUUCGGGAAACCGAAGCUAAUACCGGAUAGGAUCUUCUCCUUCAUGGGAGAUGAUUGAAAGAUGGUUUCGGCUAUCACUUACAGAUGGGCCCGCGGUGCAUUAGCUAGUUGGUGAGGUAACGGCUCACCAAGGCAACGAUGCAUAGCCGACCUGAGAGGGUGAUCGGCCACACUGGGACUGAGACACGGCCCAGACUCCUACGGGAGGCAGCAGUAGGGAAUCUUCCGCAAUGGACGAAAGUCUGACGGAGCAACGCCGCGUGAGUGAUGAAGGCUUUCGGGUCGUAAAACUCUGUUGUUAGGGAAGAACAAGUACGAGAGUAACUGCUCGUACCUUGACGGUACCUAACCAGAAAGCCACGGCUAACUACGUGCCAGCAGCCGCGGUAAUACGUAGGUGGCAAGCGUUAUCCGGAAUUAUUGGGCGUAAAGCGCGCGCAGGCGGUUUCUUAAGUCUGAUGUGAAAGCCCACGGCUCAACCGUGGAGGGUCAUUGGAAACUGGGGAACUUGAGUGCAGAAGAGAAAAGCGGAAUUCCACGUGUAGCGGUGAAAUGCGUAGAGAUGUGGAGGAACACCAGUGGCGAAGGCGGCUUUUUGGUCUGUAACUGACGCUGAGGCGCGAAAGCGUGGGGAGCAAACAGGAUUAGAUACCCUGGUAGUCCACGCCGUAAACGAUGAGUGCUAAGUGUUAGAGGGUUUCCGCCCUUUAGUGCUGCAGCUAACGCAUUAAGCACUCCGCCUGGGGAGUACGGUCGCAAGACUGAAACUCAAAGGAAUUGACGGGGGCCCGCACAAGCGGUGGAGCAUGUGGUUUAAUUCGAAGCAACGCGAAGAACCUUACCAGGUCUUGACAUCCUCUGACAACUCUAGAGAUAGAGCGUUCCCCUUCGGGGGACAGAGUGACAGGUGGUGCAUGGUUGUCGUCAGCUCGUGUCGUGAGAUGUUGGGUUAAGUCCCGCAACGAGCGCAACCCUUGAUCUUAGUUGCCAGCAUUUAGUUGGGCACUCUAAGGUGACUGCCGGUGACAAACCGGAGGAAGGUGGGGAUGACGUCAAAUCAUCAUGCCCCUUAUGACCUGGGCUACACACGUGCUACAAUGGAUGGUACAAAGGGCUGCAAGACCGCGAGGUCAAGCCAAUCCCAUAAAACCAUUCUCAGUUCGGAUUGUAGGCUGCAACUCGCCUACAUGAAGCUGGAAUCGCUAGUAAUCGCGGAUCAGCAUGCCGCGGGUGAAUACGUUCCCGGGCCUUGUACACACCGCCCGUCACACCACGAGAGUUUGUAACACCCGAAGUCGGUGGAGUAACCGUAAGGAGCUAGCCGCCUAAGGUGGGACAGAUGAUUGGGGUGAAUCUAGAAAAAAACCCCCAAAAAAAAAAAAGGGGGUUUUUUUUCCCCGGGUUGUUGUAGGUUAUGAUCCCCCUCGGGGAGAAAAAAAAAUAUACCUUC